UUCAAAGAGUGCGUAACAGCUCACUGGUCGAGUGGACAUGCGCCGACAAUACACGGGGCUAAGCUGGACACCGAAGCGGCGGGAUUUUGAUUUUCGGAAUCGGUAGGGGAGCUUCCCAUGGGCGGAGAAGCCGGAGGGCGACCGACGGUGGAGCGCAUGGGAGUGAGAAUGCUGGCAUGAGUAGCGAGAGACGAGAGAGUAACUCGUCCGCCGUGAACCCGAGGUUUCCUGGGCAAGGCUAAUCCUCCCAGGGUCAGUCGGGGGCUAAGGCGAGGCCGGUAGGCGUAGCCGACGCGCAGCAGGCAGACAUUCCUGCACCGCGCACGCGGCGCUACGACCGACGGGGCGACGGAUGGGGGUGGCUCGGCGGGGUUCUGGACGUCCCCGUGAUGGAGCGCGGCCCGCGGACCAGGGAAAUCCGGUCCGCAUCGAGGGCGAGGCUCCGGACGAAGCGACUGAGCGAAGCGAGUGAGCCCGAGGUCCCUAGAAAAACCCCUAGGCAGGCGCGUGCGCGCCCGUACCGCAAACCGACACAGGUGGGUGGGUAGAACAUACCGAGGCGAUCGGGUCAACCAUGGUCAAGGAACUCGGCACAAUGGCCCCGUAACUUCGGGAGAAGGGGUGCCCGCGCGUACGUGAACGGACUUGCUCCGGGAGCGGAGGCGGGCCGCAGUGGAGAGGCCCAAGCGACUGUUUACCAAAAACACAGGACUCUGCAGAAGCCGCAAGGCGACGUAUAGGGUCUGACGCCUGCCCGGUGCCGGAAGGUCACGCGGAGGAGUUAGCCGAUUCGGCGAAGCCCCGAAGCCAAGCCCCGGUAAACGGCGGCCGUAACUAUAACGGUCCUAAGGUAGCGAAAUUCCUUGUCGGGUAAGUUCCGACCUGCACGAAAGGCGCAACGACUUGGGCGCUGUCUCGACCAUGGACCCGGUGAAAUUGCACUGGUCGUGAAGAUGCGACUUACCCGCGGAAGGACGGAAAGACCCCGUGAACCUUCACUGCAGCUUGGCAUUGGCCGCUGGUCCCGCGUGUAGAGGAUAGGCAGGAGGCAUCGAUCCGGAGGCGCCAGCCCCCGGGGAGCCGCCCUUGGAAUACUGCCCUCGCGCGACCGGCGUCCUAACCCGAGGCCGUCAACCGGCUCGGGGACCGUGCCAGGCGGGCAGUUUGACUGGGGCGGUCGCCUCCUAAAGGGUAACGGAGGCGCGCGAAGGUCCGCUCGGGACGGUCGGCAACCGUCCUUUUGAAUGCAAGAGUACAAGCGGGCUUGACUGCGAGGCCCACAAGCCGAGCAGGUGCGAAAGCAGGCUCUAGUGAUCCGGCGGCCCCGAGUGGGUGGGCCGUCGCUCAACGGAUAAAAGGUACUCCGGGGAUAACAGGCUGAUCUUGCCCAAGAGUCCACAUCGACGGCAAGGUUUGGCACCUCGAUGUCGGCUCAUCGCAUCCUGGGGCUGGAGCAGGUCCCAAGGGUACGGCUGUUCGCCGUUUAAAGCGGUACGCGAGCUGGGUUCAGAACGUCGUGAGACAGUUCGGUCCCUAUCCUCCG
RNAcentral lists this ribosomal RNA (1543 nucleotides) under human gut metagenome. Its description in RNAcentral is "bacterial LSU rRNA". It matches the Rfam family "Bacterial large subunit ribosomal RNA", at positions 1122 to 2647 of the family's 2925-position model. The record is from RNAcentral.